AGAAUCAACGCUGGCGGCGUGCCUAACACAUGCAAGUCGAACGAGAAAGUGGAGCAAUCCAUGAGUAAAGUGGCGACCGGGUGAGUAACACGUGACUAACCUACCUUCGAGUGGGGGAUAACCUCGGGAAACCGGGGCUAAUACCGCAUAACAUCUUUGAAGUGGAAAUUUCGGAGAUCAAAGGGGCAAUUCGCUUGAAGAGGGGGUCGCGGCUGAUUAGCUAGUUGGCGGGGUAACGCCCACAAGGCUUAGAUCGGUA
Molecule: ribosomal RNA, 259 nt
Filed under: uncultured bacterium
Lineage: Bacteria
Description: partial small subunit ribosomal RNA
Rfam family: Bacterial small subunit ribosomal RNA
Source: RNAcentral